UUGACAUGUUGGAAAAGAAGGAAGAGCCAGAAAUGCAUGAUUUGCCUGCAGGGAAACAGCCCAGGGAAAAUGGAAACUCAGCCCAGGUUGAAAGCACCUUGAAGAGAAAGGUGCUGCCACCGUGGUUUUGUUUUUAUCUCAGCAAUACAAUUGAACAAAUACUUUAGAGAGAGAGUGAAAGAUCCCUCCAGUGAUGACUUCACGCAUAAUGAGUUAAAACUAUUAAUAGUAACAACACUAAGAGAUCAAUAGUUGUUCAAACCUAAAAGUAUAAUUGUUACCCAGCUGAGGGAGAGGUUGGAAGGUACCCCACGGUUUGACAGGCUGACACGAAAAACACAUUGAUGUAUCCAAGCUGGGCAAAUGUUUCAGGAAAUAUUUCCUCCACAGAGUUAUGCUAAAAGUGUUGCUGCCAUUAGACUUUCAUCACACGCCCGCUGCUCGUGAGUUAAACGGACAGGACUGGAAAUGUGAGCUGUCAAUCUGGGUGCAACAAUACAUUUAGCUCGAGCACAUCAUCCACGUUGAAAGAAAACACUUGUCAAAGUUACGAACAAGCGUCUCCUGGUACUUGUUGACGUGCAAUUGCAUCCAGCCACGUGCCCCAGGACUGCUCUGUCUCGUUAUCCAGUUGUCAAGGAUGAUCAGGAUAUCCUGCCCAUGGAUUUCUUUGAUUCACAUGUGGCAAACCUUGAGCUGAGCUUUGUCUCUCUGGAGAUGUCUCAUGGAGGAGCAUUGUGGAAUCAUCAUUCCUCAUCAGACUCCAGACAAUGUAAAAAUGCAUCCUGUACAUGUGCUGCAUCGCACACACGGUGAUUUGGGAGCAGAAAACUGUAAAAUCUGAGUUACAACACAAAGAUCUGUCUAAGAACGUGGAUCCAUGACUGCAGAGAGAGGUGUUGGGUGAAUGUAUGGUUUUUGAGAUUAAACAGGAUUAAACAUUAAUUAAACAGAUUCAAAGGACAACAAGGAUCAAACUUUUUUCUUGCUUUUGUCGUUUUCUUGGUAACAUCUAGGGAAAUUGAUUAUUUUUUUUUUUUAAUGGAAAGUAAUGGAAGUGGUUUCACCUAACCCUGCUUCAUGCCAUUGUUUCAGGGCAAGAUGCAGUUCUAAAAACAUACUUUUUAGUAUUUUUGUUAAUUCUUCUUAUUUACUAAUAAACACACUAAAACAUAAAAGUAUAAGAGGACACUAUCAAGUUAUAUGGGAGAAAAAAUAAUUAGUGUUUUAUUCUGAGUCAGUUUUUGUUGAAUUGGGAAUCCUUGGGUUUGAGGGUUCACAUCCCAAAUCCCUGCUUGGUGCUGCAGAAAGGUUCUGCGAAACCAAGGAGUGAAACUCUGGGGUAAAAACACGAUGAGGGGAUCCGCGUUUGUUGCAAAACUUGUUACAAGAGUUCCUAUUUUCUUUUCUGUAGUAGGAACCAGUCUGAGUAAUUAACUUUUCUUUGCUGCUGAUGUCUUUGGUGUAUUACCAGCCUGACAUCUGUGCUGGGCUGGAGGGAUUUUGUAGGAAAAAGAGAUUUCACUGGUGGCUUCUGGAGACUCUGUGCCCCUGCUUGGCUUUGUAGAGCAUCUGCCAUAAUUCACUCCAGGAUGCCUAAACUGUAUUAAUAAAAUAAUAAAUAUUUUCUUCAACUAAA
This is a long non-coding RNA of Hirundo rustica (Barn swallow), 1639 nucleotides long. RefSeq lists it as uncharacterized. The transcript is spliced from 6 exons. Lineage: Eukaryota; Metazoa; Chordata; Aves; Passeriformes; Hirundinidae. The record is from RefSeq and is a predicted model, not a curated record.